AAGUCGUAACAAGGUCUCCGUUGGUGAACCAGCGGAGGGAUCAUUACUGAGUUAUUAAAACUCCAAACCCUUUGUGAACCUUACUGUCGUUGCCUCGGCGUGAGCUACGGCUACCCUGUAGUUACCCUAUAGCUACCCUGCAGCUACCCUAUAGUUGACCUGUAGCUACCCUGUAGCCGGCUUAUGGCCCGCCGAAGGACCGCUAAACUCUUGUUUUUUACCACUGUUUCUCUGAAUUGUAAACUUAAAUAAGUUAAAACUUUCAACAACGGAUCUCUUGGUUCUG
This 286-nucleotide unclassified non-coding RNA is filed under the name Hypoxylon investiens. RNAcentral's name for it is "partial internal transcribed spacer region". The stretch from base 1 to 46 matches the Rfam family "Eukaryotic small subunit ribosomal RNA", at positions 1786 to 1831 of the family's 1831-position model. Lineage: Eukaryota; Fungi; Ascomycota; Sordariomycetes; Xylariales; Hypoxylaceae. The record is from RNAcentral.